CAGUCGCCGCGGUAAUACGGAGGGGGCUAGCGUUGUUCGGAAUUACUGGGCGUAAAGCGCACGUAGGCUGCUUUGUAAGUCAGAGGUGAAAGCCCGUGGCUCAACCCCGGAUGUGCCUUUGAGACUGCAGAGCUAGAAUCGCGGAGAGGCGAGUGGAAUUCCGAGUGUAGAGGUGAAAUUCGUAGAUAUUCGGAAGAACACCAGUGGCGAAGGCGGCUCACUGGACGCGUAUUGACGCUGAGGUGCGAAAGCGUGGGGAGCAAACAGGAUUAGAUACCCCAGUAGUCCCUGUCUCUUAUAC
RNAcentral lists this ribosomal RNA (301 nucleotides) under uncultured bacterium. RNAcentral describes it as "partial 16S ribosomal RNA". It matches the Rfam family "Bacterial small subunit ribosomal RNA", at positions 509 to 807 of the family's 1533-position model. The record is from RNAcentral.